Molecule: small nuclear RNA, 107 nt
Filed under: Tupaia belangeri (northern tree shrew)
Lineage: Eukaryota; Metazoa; Chordata; Mammalia; Scandentia; Tupaiidae
Source: RNAcentral
GUGCUCGCUUCGGCAGCACAUAUACUAAAAUUGGAAUGAUACGGAGAAGAUUAGCAUGACCCGUGUGCAAGGAUGACAUGCAAAUUCAUGAAGCGUUCUGUAUUUUC